GGCCCAGACUCCUACGGGAGGCAGCAGUGGGGAAUAUUGCACAAUGGGGGGAACCCUGAUGCAGCGACGCCGCGUGGGUGAAGGAGUAUUUCGGUCUGUAAAGCCCUAUCAGCAGGGAAGAACGAUGACGGUACCUGACUAAGAAGCACCGGCUAAAUACGUGCCAGCAGCCGCGGUAAUACGUAGGGGGCAAGCGUUAUCCGGAUUUACUGGGUGUAAAGGGAGCGUAGGCGGUUUAGCAAGUCAGAAGUGAAAGCCCGGGGCUCAACUCCGGGACUGCUUUUGAAACUGUUGAACUAGAUUGCAGGAGAGGUAAGUGGAAUUCCUAGUGUAGCGGUGAAAUGCGUAGAUAUUAGGAGGAACACCAGUGGCGAAGGCGGCUUACUGGACUGUAACUGACGUUGAGGCUCGAAAGCGUGGGGAGCAAACAGGAUUAGAUACCCUAGUAA
RNAcentral lists this ribosomal RNA (449 nucleotides) under uncultured bacterium. RNAcentral's name for it is "bacterial SSU rRNA". It matches the Rfam family "Bacterial small subunit ribosomal RNA", at positions 328 to 793 of the family's 1533-position model. The record is from RNAcentral.